Molecule: long non-coding RNA, 584 nt
Filed under: Mytilus galloprovincialis (Mediterranean mussel)
Lineage: Eukaryota; Metazoa; Mollusca; Bivalvia; Mytilida; Mytilidae
Source: RNAcentral
GCCUAAAACAACAUUUUCAUGCAUUUUGUAUCGUGAAGUUGUAUGGGUUUUAUAAACUAUAACGAUACUGUAUUCCUUUUUAGUUUCAACAAAUUUCGUUGGAUAUCUGGGUAACAUAUUUUAUCGUAUAGUCCAUAAAUAGUUAUGUAGAAGUGCGAUUCCAAAUUAAUAUUGUGUUUCUUAAUUCCAUCACAGUAACGGGAAAACAUCAAGCGAUUAAGGUUUUUUACUCAACCAUUGGUUCAUUUGUGUUUUCGUGAACUAGCCCGAUCCGACCAUUAAAGCUUACUGCUGGUGAAAUGUAAAAAUCAUUAUGUGUACUAAAGUUUUCCGAUGCAGAUGCAAUGGAUGAACGUGUAUUGAAAAAAAUGUGGAUUGCUUGCCAAUGAAACGUUUCUGCAUCAGAGACCAAAAUGCACAAAAGGUAACCAUUAUUCGUCACAGAACUUUUUUUUCUUUUAAAGAAAACUGUUUAAUUAUUAGUAACAUUUAUGUAGCAACAGAGAGCAUUUUAACCUAAAGACAAAAAUGCUUAUUUACUAGAUAUAUGAUAUAUUUUUGCAAAGUAUUAAUAAAUGGGACGA